RNAcentral lists this ribosomal RNA (1478 nucleotides) under uncultured Bordetella sp. Its description in RNAcentral is "partial 16S-23S ribosomal RNA intergenic spacer". It matches the Rfam family "Bacterial small subunit ribosomal RNA". The record is from RNAcentral. Lineage: Bacteria; Pseudomonadati; Pseudomonadota; Betaproteobacteria; Burkholderiales; Alcaligenaceae.
GGUUCGAUCAUGGCUCAGAUUGAACGCUGGCGGGAUGCUUUACACAUGCAAGUCGAACGGCAGCACGGACUUCGGUCUGGUGGCGAGUGGCGAACGGGUGAGUAAUGUAUCGGAACGUGCCUAGUAGCGGGGGAUAACUACGCGAAAGCGUAGCUAAUACCGCAUACGCCCUUCGGGGGAAAGCGGGGGACCUUCGGGCCUCGCACUAUUAAGGCGGCCGAUAUCGGAUUAGCUGAAUUGGUGGGGUAACGGCUCACCAAGGCGACGAUCCGCUAGCUGGUUUGAGAGGACGACCAGCCACCGGGACUGAGACACGGCCCAGACUCCUACGGGGAGGCAGCAGUGGGGAAUUUUGGACAAUGAAACCUGAUCCAGCCAUCCCGCGUGUGCGAUGAGCCUGAGUUUUCAGCCUUUGGCGGAAAGAAACGGCCUGGGAUAUGCCCGUGCAACUGACGAUACCUGCAGAAUAAGCACCGGCUAACUACGUGCCAGCAGCCCGCGGUAAUACGCAGGGUGCAAGCGUUAAUCGGAAUUACUGGGCGUAAAGCGUGCGCAGGCGGUUCGGAAGAAAGAUGUGAAAUCCCGAAGCCAACUUUACAGACUGCAUUUUCCAACUACCGAGCUAGAGUGUGUCAGAGGGAGGUGGAAUUCCGCGUGUAGCAGUGAAAUGCGUAGAUAUGCGGAGAGGAACACCGAUGGCGAAGGCAGCCUCCUCAGGAUAACACUGACGCUCUUUUUAGCAUUGGGGAGCAAACAGGAUUAGAUACCUGGUAGUCACGCCCUAAACGAUGUCAACUAGCUGUUGGGGCCCUCGGGCCUUGGUAGCGCAGCUAACGCGUGAAGUUGACCGCCGCAGGGAGUACGGUCCGCAAGAUUAGAAACUCAAAGGAAUUGACGGGGACCCGCACAAGCGGUGGAUGAUGUGGAUUAAUUCGAUGCAACGCGAAAAACCUUACCUACCCUUGACAUGUCUGGAAUCGAAGAGAUUUGGGAGUGCUCGCAGAGAACCAGACUGGUGCUGCAUGGCUGUCGUCAGCUAGUAGUGUGGUGAGAUGUUGGGUUAAGUCCCGCAACGAGCGCAGCCCUUGUCGUGGUUGCUACGAAAGGGCACUCCUAAUGGAACUGCCGGUGACAGAACGGGAGGAGGAGUGGGGAUGACGUCAAGUCCUCGCAGCCUAUGGGUAGGGCUUCACACGUCAUACAAUGGUCAGGACGUGAGAGGUGUAACACGGGGGAACUCAAUCCCAGAGAAACCCGAAUCGUAGUCCGGAUCAUGAUCUGCAACUCGACUGCGUGAAGUAAGGAGAUCGCGUAAAGUAAUCGCGGAUCAGCAUAUCUGCGUUGAAUCCCGUUCCCGGUCUUGUACACACCGCCCGUCACACCAUGGGAGUGGGUUUUACCAAAGUAGUUAGCUAACCGUAAGGAGGGCGAUUACCACGGUAGGAUUCAUGACUGGGGUGAAGUCGUAACAAAGGUAA